AAACACACGCAUGCUCCAGCAGCUUGCGGUGCAAAUCGAGCCUAGACCCAAUGACCCCUUGUGGCGGUCGAAGCGGUUUUCGAAGAGACUCAAUGAUUUUUUGGGGUUAGCCGGGGCUGUUAUAUCAUCCUAUAUGCUUACGCGUAAGUGGCUUCAUUUGGACCAAGAGGCAGAUUCAAAAGAGCAGAAGAUCUAACUAGCAACAAUGGCUUCAGUUGGAGAAUGAGGCAGAAGAUCUAACUAGCUAUCUGGAAGUCGAAGUGUAAUUUCACUAGUAUAGAAAUGCUCGAGGAUGAAGUUAUUAGUGCUCUUUUUUGGGCAUUCUUCAGCUUUUGUACCAACAACUGUGAAAAUUAGUUAUGCAUUUUUAUAUGGUUUUGGCUUCAGUUUCCUUUGACCUUAUGUGCGGUGUCAAUACUGUGUUCAGUGAUUGUAUGUGUUGCCCCCACCCCCCAUUUUGUACAGUUUAGCAUGAUGCCA
This is a non-coding RNA of Aegilops tauschii subsp. strangulata, 480 nucleotides long. The record is from RefSeq and is a predicted model, not a curated record. Lineage: Eukaryota; Viridiplantae; Streptophyta; Magnoliopsida; Poales; Poaceae.